RNAcentral lists this unclassified non-coding RNA (326 nucleotides) under uncultured fungus. Its description in RNAcentral is "partial contains small subunit ribosomal RNA, internal transcribed spacer 1, and 5.8S ribosomal RNA". The stretch from base 1 to 73 matches the Rfam family "Eukaryotic small subunit ribosomal RNA", at positions 1759 to 1831 of the family's 1831-position model. The record is from RNAcentral. Lineage: Eukaryota; Fungi.
UCAAACUUGGUCAUUUAGAGGAAGUAAAAGUCGUAACAAGGUUUCCGUAGGUGAACCUGCGGAAGGAUCAUUAACGUAUCUAAGGCGCUCGGCCUGCGGCUCUGCUCCGAUCGAAAGGUCGUGCAGCGGGCCCGGGCAGACGUCUAUCUAACCUUCACAAACCCACUGUGCACCUUUACGGCAGAGGUCCUCGGGCGAGAGCCCUUUGGCCAAAGCCGUCUCUACAAACACUAGUAACAAGAAUGUCAAAGCGACUCUGUCGCCCAUUAAACAUAACAACUUUCAACAACGGAUCUCUUGGCUCUCGCAUCGAUGAAGAACGCAGC